AAUCCAUGCAUGAGACACUUCCUAAGCAAAUCAUUGAACCUUUCCCAUGCUUCAUAUAGUGUUUCAUCCUCUAGUUGCUUGAAGAAUGUAAUGUCAUCUCCUAGUUU
Molecule: non-coding RNA, 107 nt
Organism: Gossypium arboreum
Lineage: Eukaryota; Viridiplantae; Streptophyta; Magnoliopsida; Malvales; Malvaceae
Source: Rfam